AUGACAGCCCAGGCCAGAUUCCACCCGGCAGCAGCGGAAGCACGCCGAGCCUGCCGGCAGUGCAGUCCCGGCGGCCGCGGGCAGCUCACCCAGAAGGCCGCGCGGGGUCGGGGCGCGAAUCCUUACCCCGGCGCCCACGCCCAGCACGCGAGCCCCGGCGUUCGCUGGGGAGGAUUUUCCUUGCUGCUGCUUAACUUGGAGGAGUACUACUCCGAACAGCAUAGAGCCAAUCACAUUUUGCACAAGGGCAGUCACCAUGAAAGAAAAAUCAGAGGCUCCUUAAAAAUAUGUUCAAAAUCAGCGAUUUUUGAACCAGAUGCAAUAUCCCAGCCCAUCAUCAAGAUUCCUUUGAGAGACUGUAUAAAAACAGGAAAGCAUAGAGAAAAUGGAGCCAACAGACACUUCACAAAGGCGAAAUCUGGGAGUAUUUCACUCAUUUUCAGUCAGGUAUAUUUCAUUAAAGAACAUAAUGUUGUCACACCAUAUAAAAUAGAAAGGGGCAAAAUGGAGUAUGUUUUUGAAUUGGAUGUUUCCGAGAAAGUGGAAGAUGUUGUGGAGACGUUGCUUCAGCUUCACAGAGCAUCCUGGAUUGACAAAUUGGGUGACCAAACCGCCAUGAUAACAGCUAUUUUGCAGUCUCGUUUGGCUAGAACAUCAUUUGACAAAAACAGGUUCCAAAACAUUUCUGAAAAGCUGCACAUGGAAUGCAAAGCAGAAAUGGUGACGCCUCUGGUGACUAAUGCUGGACACGUGUGCAUCACGGACACAAACCUCUAUUUUCAGCCUCUCAAUGGCUACCCGAAACCUGUGGUCCAAAUAACACUCCAAGAUGUCCGCCGCAUCUACAAAAGGAGGCAUGCCCUCAUGCCUCUGGGCUUGGAAGUAUUUUGCACAGAAGGUGAUCUGUGUUCCGACAUCUACCUAAAGUUCUAUGAACCUCAAGAUAGAGAUGAUCUCUAUUUUUACAUUGCCACAUACCUAGAGCACCAUGUGGCGGGGCACACUGCUGAGAGCUACAUGCUGCAGUGGCAGCGUGGACUCCUUUCCAACUAUCAGUACCUCCUUCACCUCAACAACCUGGCCGACCGCAGCUGCAACGACCUCUCCCAGUACCCUGUGUUUCCAUGGAUAAUACAUGAUUAUUCCAGCUCAGAACUAGAUUUGUCAAAUCCAGGAAACUUCCGGGAUCUUAGUAAGCCAGUGGGGGCCCUAAAUAAGGAACGGCUGGAGAGGCUACUGACACGCUACCAGGAAAUGCCUGAACCAAAGUUCAUGCAUGAGAGUCACUACUCUUCCCCGGGUUAUGUACUUUUUUUAUCUUGUUAGGAUUGCACCAGAGUAUAUGCUGUGCCUACAGAAUGGAAGAUUUGAUAAUGCAGAUAGAAUGUUCAACAGUAUUGCAGAAACUUGGAAAAACAAUCUGGAUGGUGCACCGGAUUUUAAAGAGUUAAUUCCAGAAUUCUAUGGUGAUGAUGUAAGCUUUCUAGUCAAUAGCCUGAAGUUGGAUUUGGGAAAGAGACAAGGAGGACAGAUGGUUGACGAUGUGGAGCUUCCCCCUUGGGCCUCCAGUCCCGAGGACUUUCUCCAGAAGAGCAAAGAUGCAUUGGAAAGCAAUUAUGUGUCUGAAUACCUUCAGGAGUGGAUUGAUCUAAUAUUUGGCUACAAACAAAAACGGAGUGGUGCAGUUGGGGCCCAUAAUGUAUUUCAUCCCCUGACCUAUGAAGGAGGUGUAGACUUGAACAGCAUCCAGGAUCCUGAUGAGAAGGUAGCCAUGCUUACGCAAAUCUUGGAAUUUGGGCAAACACCAAAACAACUAUUUGUGACACCACACCCUCGAAGGAUCACCCCAAAAUUUAAAAGUUUGUCCCAGACCUCCAGUUAUAAUGCUUCUAUGGCAGAUUCCCCAGUCUCUCCAGGUGAAGAGUCUUUUGAAGACCUGACCGAAGAAAGCAAAACACUGGCCUGGAAUAACAUCACCAAACUGCAGUUACAUGAGCACUAUAAAAUCCACAAAGAAGCAGUUACUGGAAUCACAGUCUCUCGCAAUGGAUCUUCAGUCUUCACAACAUCCCAAGAUUCCACUUUGAAGAUGUUUUCUAAAGAAUCGAAAAUGCUACAAAGAAGCAUAUCAUUUUCAAAUAUGGCUUUAUCGUCUUGUUUACUUUUACCAGGAGAUGCCACUGUCAUAACUUCUUCAUGGGAUAAUAAUGUCUAUUUUUAUUCCAUAGCAUUUGGAAGACGCCAGGACACAUUAAUGGGACAUGAUGAUGCUGUUGGUAAGAUCUGUUGGCAUGACAACAGGCUAUAUUCUGCAUCGUGGGACUCUGCAGUGAAGGUGUGGUCUGGUGUUCCUGCGGAGAUGCCAGGCACCAAAAGACACCACUUUGACUUGCUAGCUGAGCUGGAACAUGAUGUCAGUGUAGAGACAAUCAGUUUAAAUCCUGCAAGCACACUGUUAGUUUCCGGCACCAAAGAAGGCACAGUGAAUAUUUGGGACCUCAAAACGGCCACCUUAAUGCACCAGAUUCCAUGCCAUUCAGGGAUUGUAUGUGACACUGCUUUUAGCCCAGAUAGCCGCCACGUCCUCAGCACAGGAGCAGAUGGCUGUCUUAAUGUCAUUGAUGUACAGAGAGGAAUGCUCAUCUCCUCCAUGACGUCAGAUGAGCCCCAGAGGUGCCUUGUCUGGGAUGGAAAUUCCAUUUUAUCUGGAAGGCAGUCUGGUGAACUGCUUGUUUGGAACCUCCUUGGAGCAAAAAUCAGUGAGAGAACACAGGGCCACACAUGUGCUGUGACAUGUAUAUGGAUGAAUGAACAGUGUAGCAGUAUCAUAUCACAGGAGGGGAAGACAGACAAAUUAUUUCUGGAAAUUGCAGUAUUAA
Molecule: non-coding RNA, 2879 nt
Organism: Macaca mulatta (Rhesus monkey)
Lineage: Eukaryota; Metazoa; Chordata; Mammalia; Primates; Cercopithecidae
Source: RefSeq, a predicted model, not a curated record